Molecule: long non-coding RNA, 683 nt
Organism: Maylandia zebra (zebra mbuna)
Lineage: Eukaryota; Metazoa; Chordata; Actinopteri; Cichliformes; Cichlidae
Source: RefSeq, a predicted model, not a curated record
UUACAGUCUUAGAAUAGCCACACAAAAAAGGAAAAAGGAAAUUUCUAAAGAAUGGAGGAUAUCAUAUAACACUGUGCACUAAGGCCUGGUGCACAACUGAGCACAAGGUCAGGAACAUUAGUUAGUUUGAGACCGAUGUCUCACAGGUCUUACCUGAAAAACACGAGUUAUGAGUGAAAAGGAAAUCCCUGAAUCCUUUCUUUUGAGGAAAAGUUGCAAAGGACAAGAAGAGAGACUUUUGCCAGACUAAGAUGUGGCUUUUUCUUUUUAGUGGAGUCACCUCUUCACAGGGCAGCUUUGCACAGCACCAGUUUUUUAACGCGUGGCAGCAACUGUAGGCAGCGCAUGUGCCGAGGCUGUAAUUCGUCUGUAAGUGAUGGAGGCAGCAUACACCCACAAGUGUUCUAGUCUAACCUGACAUGCUGAAGGAGGAGGAUGCCCACAAGCACAGAAAUGAAUGAGGUCCAGAAUUUUUUCUCUUUACAACAUGUGUGCUUCAGUGACCAGCAGAAAAGGCCAGACUUCUGAAGAGAUUCGGUACAAAGAAAUUCACACCAGAAAUUCUGAAAACUGUAAAGUACUUUAUUUUGUAUAGCUUCCCUCUUUUUCACAGAAGCUACUUUGUAUAUAUAUAUAAAUGUGGAAGUUGAAUCUUGUCUGGCUGUAAAAAAAAUAAAAUAAAA